ACAGGGCCGGGGACACCAGAAGACACUGCCCCAGCAGAGCUCAUCUGUUGCAAGUGCCCUGAGCGGUCACAUAAUAUUUUAUUCUAUUUGUUAAUGCUUACUAUAAGAAUUGUGAUACUUGUUCAGCACUGAAGAGAAGGGCCCUGCUGGGAAAUCAGUACUUUGGGCACCGGAAUGCAGAAAGCAACUGGAGAAACAGGCUACGCUCAACCCUGGGAAACAAGCUUUCUGCUCGUUGGCACUUGAUGUACCAGAAGCUCUUCAGGAGGCAGGGGACACAAGGAGCAGCGGGGUCAGAGAGGCUGGUCGUCAAGGACUUCCCUGCCACCUCCAAGAACAUGAAAAGGCCUUUGCCGGUCCCAUCCCACAUCCCAUUAUAUCCUCCGUCAAUUCCCUACGGUCUCCUUCCUGGUCCAAAGGGGCCUCGGGGCCUCUUUCCUCCCACACUCCCAGGGAAAGCACAAUGGGCCACUGCAUCAGUUUAGCUCUAACGAGCUCUCAGAACCAUCCUGCAAUGGACAUUAAGUGGUCAGCGACUUGCCAACGGAGAAGGGUUCCCUAGCCAAACCUGGCUUCCGCAGGCUCGGGGGAAAAAAAACACCAAGAAGAGAUCCAGAAGCCGGUGUCCGGUGGAUGCUGUGGGCACGCGAGCCGGGCUCCCAUCAGUCGGUGAGUCGGUGACCCUCCCUUCGCC
Long non-coding RNA from Ornithorhynchus anatinus (platypus), 694 nucleotides. RefSeq lists it as uncharacterized. The record is from RefSeq and is a predicted model, not a curated record. The transcript is spliced from 3 exons. NCBI's taxonomy places the organism in Eukaryota, Metazoa, Chordata, Mammalia, Monotremata, Ornithorhynchidae.